UGAGAAUGUGCCUUCGGGAACCGUGAGACAGGUGCUGCAUGGCUGUCGUCAGCUCGUGUUGUGAAAUGUUGGGUUAAGUCCCGCAACGAGCGCAACCCUUAUCCUUUGUUGCCAGCGGUCCGGCCGGGAACUCAAAGGAGACUGCCAGUGAUAAACUGGAGGAAGGUGGGGAUGACGUCAAGUCAUCAUGGCCCUUACGACCAGGGCUACACACGUGCUACAAUGGCGCAUACAAAGAGAAGCGACCUCGCGAGAGCAAGCGGACCUCAUAAAGUGCGUCGUAGUCCGGAUUGGAGUCUGCAACUCGACUCCAUGAAGUCGGAAUCGCUAGUAAUCGUGGAUCAGAAUGCCACGGUGAAUACGUUCCCGGGCCUUGUACACACCGCCCGUCACACCAUGGGAGUGGGUUGCAAAAGAAGUAGGUAGCUUAACCUUCGGGAGGGCGCUUACCACUUUGUGAUUCAUGACUGGGGUGAAGUCGUAACAAGGUAACCGUAGGGGAACCUGCGGUUGGAUCAC
Molecule: ribosomal RNA, 519 nt
Filed under: Escherichia coli
Lineage: Bacteria; Pseudomonadati; Pseudomonadota; Gammaproteobacteria; Enterobacterales; Enterobacteriaceae
Also listed under: 2 other names
Description: bacterial SSU rRNA
Rfam family: Bacterial small subunit ribosomal RNA
Source: RNAcentral